UACGGGGGGGGCAAGCGUUGUUCGGAAUUACUGGGCGUAAAGGGCGCGUAGGCGGUUUUCUAAGUUGGACGUGAAAACUCUGGGCUUAACCCAGAGCCUGCAUCCAAAACUGGCAAGCUAGAGUUUUGGAGGGGGAAGCGGAAUUCCUGGUGUAGCAGUGAAAUGCGUAGAUAUCAGGAGGAACACCGGUGGCGAAGGCGGCGUCCUGGACAAAAACUGACGCUGAGGCGCGAAAGCGAGGGGAGCAAACAGG
Molecule: ribosomal RNA, 253 nt
Filed under: uncultured bacterium
Lineage: Bacteria
Description: partial 16S ribosomal RNA
Rfam family: Bacterial small subunit ribosomal RNA
Source: RNAcentral